Molecule: ribosomal RNA, 676 nt
Filed under: uncultured bacterium
Lineage: Bacteria
Description: bacterial SSU rRNA
Rfam family: Bacterial small subunit ribosomal RNA
Source: RNAcentral
AGAGUUUGAUCCUGGCUCAGGACGAACGCUGGCGGUGUGCUUCACACAUGCAAGUCGAGCGAAUGAAGAAGGUAGCUUGCUACUUUUGGAUUUAGCGGCGGACGGGUGAGUAAUAUAUAGGAAUCUGCCCUAGAGCGGGGAACAACAGACCGAAAGGUUUGCUAAUGCCCCAUAGGUACGCAGUCUUCGGAUUGUUUAUUAAAGGAGUAAUCCACUCUAGGAUGAGCCUGUAUCCGAUUAGCUAGUUGGCGGGGUAAAGGCCCACCAAGGCUACGAUCGGUAGUUGGUCUGAGAGGAUGAUCAGCCACAAUGGGACUGAGACACGGCCCAUACUCCUACGGGAGGCAGCAGUGGGGAAUUUUACACAAUGGGGGAAACCCUGAUGUAGCGACACCGCGUGAACGAAGAAGCCUUUUGGGGUGUAAAGUUCUGUCGGCUGGAACGAAAAAAAUGACGGUACCAGCAAAGGAAGCAUCGGCUAACUACGUGCCAGCAGCCGCGGUAAGACGUAGGAUGCAAGCGUUGUCCGGAUUUAUUGGGCGUAAAGAGUUCGUAGGCGGUUAUUUAAGUCUGAUGUUAAAUACUGUGGCCCAACCACAGAACUGCAUUGGAUACUGGAUGACUUGAGUGCGGUAGAGGCAAGUGGAAUUCCCAGUGUAGCCGUGAAAUGCGUAGA